AACGCUAGCUACAGGCUUAACACAUGCAAGUCGAGGGGAAACGACAUCGAAAGCUUGCUUUUGAUGGGCGUCGACCGGCGCACGGGUGAGUAACGCGUAUCCAACCUGCCCAUCACUUGGGGAUAACCUUGCGAAAGUAAGACUAAUACCCAAUGACGUCUCUAGAAGACAUCUGAAAGAGAUUAAAGAUUUAUCGGUGAUGGAUGGGGAUGCGUCUGAUUAGCUUGUUGGCGGGGUAACGGCCCACCAAGGCUACGAUCAGUAGGGGUUCUGAGAGGAAGGUCCCCCACAUUGGAACUGAGAUACGGUCCAAACUCCUACGGGAGGCAGCAGUGAGGAAUAUUGGUCAAUGGCCGUAAGGCUGAACCAGCCAAGUAGCGUGAAGGAUGACCGCCCUACGGGUCGUAAACUUCUUUUAUAAGGGAAUAACACCUCCCACGUGUGGGAGGCUGCAUGUACCUUAUGAAUAAGCAUCGGCUAACUCCGUGCCAGCAGCCGCGGUAAUACGGAGGAUGCGAGCGUUAUCCGGAUUUAUUGGGUUUAAAGGGAGCGCAGACGGGCGAUUAAGUCAGUUGUGAAAUGCCGCGGCUCAACCGUGGACUUGCAGUUGAUACUGGUUGCCUUGAGUGCGGUUGAGGCACGCGGAAUUCGUGGUGUAGCGGUGAAAUGCUUAGAUAUCACGAAGAACUCCGAUUG
This 696-nucleotide ribosomal RNA is filed under the name uncultured bacterium. RNAcentral's name for it is "bacterial SSU rRNA". It matches the Rfam family "Bacterial small subunit ribosomal RNA", at positions 32 to 715 of the family's 1533-position model. The record is from RNAcentral.